AGCGAUUAAACUAAAGAGUUUGAUCCUGGCUCAGAUUGAACGCUGGCGGCAUGCUUUACACAUGCAAGUCGAACGGUAACA
This 81-nucleotide ribosomal RNA is filed under the name Iodobacter sp. BJB302. RNAcentral's name for it is "partial 16S ribosomal RNA". It matches the Rfam family "Bacterial small subunit ribosomal RNA", at positions 1 to 74 of the family's 1533-position model. Lineage: Bacteria; Pseudomonadati; Pseudomonadota; Betaproteobacteria; Neisseriales; Chitinibacteraceae. The record is from RNAcentral.